RNAcentral lists this non-coding RNA (103 nucleotides) under Saccharopolyspora erythraea. RNAcentral's name for it is "Glycine sequence". It matches the Rfam family "Glycine riboswitch aptamer". From Rfam's summary of the family: This family represents the bacterial glycine riboswitch. Glycine riboswitches usually consist of two metabolite-binding aptamers domains with similar structures in tandem. Lineage: Bacteria; Bacillati; Actinomycetota; Actinomycetes; Pseudonocardiales; Pseudonocardiaceae. The record is from RNAcentral. RNAcentral also lists the same sequence under 1 other name.
AGACCCCGCGCGGGAGAGUCCGCGCCGGUAGGACACCGGUGCGGCGCCGAAGGAGCAACCACUCCCCGACAACCUCUCAGGCCAACCGGACCGCGCGGGCGAG